This 327-nucleotide ribosomal RNA is filed under the name uncultured eukaryote. RNAcentral describes it as "partial 18S ribosomal RNA". It matches the Rfam family "Eukaryotic small subunit ribosomal RNA", at positions 1470 to 1796 of the family's 1831-position model. The record is from RNAcentral.
CCCUUAGAUGUUCUGGGCCGCACGCGCGCUACACUGAUUCAUGCAACAAGUUUUGUCCUUGGCUGAUAGGCCUGGGUAAUCUUUGAACGUGAAUCGUGAUGGGGAUAGAUGAUUGCAAUUAUUCAUCUUCAACGAGGAAUUCCUAGUAAACGCAAGUCAUCAGCUUGCAUUGAUUACGUCCCUGCCCUUUGUACACACCGCCCGUCGCACCUACCGAUUGAAUGGUCCGGUGAAAUCUUCGGAUCUGAGAGAUGUCUGAUUAAUUUCUGACGCCUUUUGGAAAAGUUGUUUAAACCUUACCAUUUAGAGGAAGGUGAAGUCGUAACA